AUACGGAGGGUGCAAGCGUUACUCGGAAUUACUGGGCGUAAAGAGUACGUAGGUGGUUUAUUAAGUCAGAUGUGAAAGCCCCGGGCUCAACCUGGGAACUGCAUUUGAAACUAGUAAACUAGAGUAUGGUAGAGGGGGGUAGAAUUUCUAGUGUAGCGGUGAAAUGCGUAGAUAUUAGAAGGAAUACCAGUGGCGAAGGCGGCCCCCUGGACCAAUACUGACACUGAGGUACGAAAGCGUGGGUAGCGAACAGGAUUAGAAACCCUAGUAGUCC
RNAcentral lists this ribosomal RNA (274 nucleotides) under uncultured bacterium. Its description in RNAcentral is "partial 16S ribosomal RNA". It matches the Rfam family "Bacterial small subunit ribosomal RNA", at positions 523 to 796 of the family's 1533-position model. The record is from RNAcentral.